GAGUUUGAUCAUGGCUUAGAUUGAACGUUGGCGGCAGGCUUAACACAUGCAAGUCGAACGAGAAAGCACCUUCGGGUGUGAGUAAAGUGGCGGACGGGUGAGUAACGCGUAGGAAUCUACCUAGCAGAGGGGGACAACUCGAGGAAACUCGAGCUAAUACCGCAUAACAUCUAGGGAUCAAAGUGGGGGAUCUUCGGACCUCACGCUACCAGAGGAGCCUGCGUUGGAUUAGCUUGUUGGUGAGGUAAAGGCUCACCAAGGCUACGAUCUAUAGCUGGUCUGAGAGGACGAUCAGCCACACUGGAACUGAGACACGGUCCAGACUCCUACGGGAGGCAGCAGUGGGGAAUCUUGGGCAAUGGGCGCAAGCCUGACCCAGCCAUGCCGCGUGUGUGAAGAAGGCCUUCGGGUUGUAAAGCACUUUCAGUAGCGAAGAAAAGCUCAGGGUUAAUACCCCUGAGUCUUGACGUUAACUACAGAAGAAGCACCGGCUAACUCCGUGCCAGCAGCCGCGGUAAUACGGAGGGUGCGAACGUUAAUCGGAAUUACUGGGCGUAAAGCGCGCGUAGGCGGUUCGACAAGUGGGGUGUGAAAGCCCAGGGCUUAACCUUGGAACUGCAUUCCAAACUGUCGGACUAGAGUAUGGUAGAGGGAGGUAGAAUUUCCUGUGUAAACUAGCCGUUGGGCCCCCUAGGGGUUUGGUGGCGAAGCUAACGCGAUAAGUUCUCCGCCUGGGGAGUACGGCCGCAAGGUUAAAACUCAAAUGAAUUGACGGGGGCCCGCACAAGCGGUGGAGCAUGUUGUUUAAUUCGAUGCAACGCGAAGAACCUUACCACCCCUUGACAUACUCGGAACUUUCUAGAGAUAGAUUGGUGCCUUCGGGAACCGAGAUACAGGUGCUGCAUGGCUGUCGUCAGCUCGUGUCGUGAGAUGUUGGGUUAAGUCCCGUAACGAGCGCAACCCUUAUCCUUAUUUGCCAGCGGGUCAUGCCGGGAACUCUAAGGAGACUGCCGGUGACAAACCGGAGGAAGGCGGGGACGAGGUCAAGUCAUCAUGGCCCUUACGGGGUGGGCUACAAACGUGCUACAAUGGAGGGUACAAAGGGCUGCAAUCCCGCGAGGGUGAGCGAAUCCCAAAAAACCUUUCGUAGUCCGGAUAGGAGUCUGCAACUCGACUCCUUGAAGUCGGAAUCGCUAGUAAUCGCGAAUCAGAAUGUCGCGGUGAAUACGUUCCCGGGCCUUGUACACACCGCCCGUCACGUCAUGGGAGUGGGUUGCACCAGAAGUAGCUAGUCUAACCCUCGGGAAGACGGUUACCACGGUGUGAUUCAUGACUGGGACGAAGUCGUAACAAGGUAGCCGUAGGGGAACCUGCGGCUGG
Molecule: ribosomal RNA, 1380 nt
Filed under: uncultured prokaryote
Description: partial 16S ribosomal RNA
Rfam family: Bacterial small subunit ribosomal RNA
Source: RNAcentral